This 468-nucleotide ribosomal RNA is filed under the name uncultured bacterium. Its description in RNAcentral is "partial 16S ribosomal RNA". It matches the Rfam family "Bacterial small subunit ribosomal RNA", at positions 28 to 507 of the family's 1533-position model. The record is from RNAcentral.
GACGAACGCUGGCGGCGUGCUUAACACAUGCAAGUCGAACGGAAAGACCCUGCGUUUGUUGGUUUCUCGAUUGGCGAGCGGGGGAGUAACACGUGAGUAACCUCCCCUUAAAUUUCUGGUAACUUCAGGAAACUGGGGCGAAUACCGGGUAGGAUCUCCUGCUGCAUAGUGGUGGUUGGAAAGUUUCGGCUGUGGUGGCUCGACUAGCUGGUUAUCAGCUUGUUGGGCGGGUAGUGGCUUACCAAGGCUUUGACGGGUAGCCCGCCUGAGAGGGUGAACGGCCACCUUGGGCCUGAGAUAGGGACCAGAAUCGUACGGGCGGCAGCAGUCGAGAAUAUUGCAGAAUGGGGGGACGCGAGAUGCAGCAAUGUCGCGUGCGUGAUGCCGGGUUUUGGGUUGUAAACAGCUUUCGACUGUGAUGAAGAGUGAGUGACGGUAAUGGGUAAAGAAGCCACGGCUAACUACGUG